ACCACCAUAGCUCAGUGGCAGAGCUUUUACUCCGUAUGCAAAAGGUCGCAGGUUCGAUCCCUCCUGGCAUCUCCAAGGCU
Podarcis lilfordi (Lilford's wall lizard) is the source of this 80-nucleotide non-coding RNA. NCBI's taxonomy places the organism in Eukaryota, Metazoa, Chordata, Lepidosauria, Squamata, Lacertidae. The record is from the annotation of a GenBank genome assembly.